GAUGAACGCUGGCGGCGUGCCUAAUACAUGCAAGUAGAACGCUGAAGGAGGAGCUUGCUCUUCUGGAUGAGUUGCGAACGGGUGAGUAACGCGUAGGUAACCUGCCUGGUAGCGGGGGAUAACUAUUGGAAACGAUAGCUAAUACCGCAUGACAACAGUUAUUGCAUGAUAACUGUUUAAAAGGGGCAACUGCUCCACUACCAGAUGGACCUGCGUUGUAUUAGCUAGUUGGUGAGGUAACGGCUCACCAAGGCGACGAUACAUAGCCGACCUGAGAGGGGGAUCGGCCACCCGGGGACUGGGACACGGCCCAGACCCCUACGGGGGGCAGAAGUAGGGAAUUUUCGGAAAGGGACGGAAUUCUGCCCGAGCAACGCCGGGUGAGUGAAAAAGGUUUUCGGAUCGUAAAGCUCUUUUGUAAGAGAAGAACGGGUGUGGGAGGGGAAAGUUCACCCUGUGACGGUAUCUUACCAGAAAGGGGCGGCUAACUACGU
Molecule: ribosomal RNA, 494 nt
Filed under: uncultured bacterium
Lineage: Bacteria
Description: partial 16S ribosomal RNA
Rfam family: Bacterial small subunit ribosomal RNA
Source: RNAcentral